UUCUGCACUAUAUUAAAGCUCCCCUCUUCUUCAAUUUCAAGCCCGAAGAACCCUAGCUUUCACUUGGCCGCCGUACCCCUUUAGUGCUAUUAGCAUAACAAUACUGGCUGCAUCUUGUCAUUGUUAUUGUGGUUAGGUUCUUGGUCAUGGACAAAAUAUUAGAGAAUCAAAGAGAAGGCAUAACAUGCCGCUGUCUUUGAUGCAAGAGUUGUGUGCACUCACAUCUAAAUUAAGGUAUUAGGUAUUUAACAAAUAAUUAUUUUGGAACAAUCUUCCUUUUGUAUGGUUGUGGUUGUUGAAGGAUUCAUGUGAACAAGGAGGUGAAGUGCAAAUAACAAGGAAAAUGUUAGAUGUUACUUGAUGUAUCUAUAGAAACCAUUGUAGAAGAGAAAACAAAUACAAAGAGGGUUCAGAGCAAGUCAUGUUGUAAUCUUUCGCAUGUCGAAGAAGACACUUCUGUUUCUCAUAAAUCCUUCAGCUAUCCACAACCAUAUCAAUUGUGAGAUUUUAAUGUUCUUACAUAUCAUGUGUUGCAAAAUAAACAAAGCACGAUCUCAAGCUAUUUUUAAAUGCCUAUAGGUUAGUUUGAGCCUGUCUUUUCAUAUAAAUUAUAGUACAUAAUUUUAAUUUUUUCCCACCUUGUUUUUCAACUAAAAACUUUUCCCACCUUAUAAGUACUUGAUUUAUUUCUUUUUUCUGUUUUUGCAAGUGACCCAACUACUGAAACAACAUAAGAUGGUGGUUCUCAUAUCUUUUUGCAAUUUUCUCUCCAAUUUCUUGUGCUGCAGUUCCCAAUGCUCGUCUUUAUAAAAAUUAAUGGGCGCCAUAUUCCUUGAGAAGAGACAUUUAUUAGCCUAUUUGCCAAUAUAACUGUACAGUCUUUUUUAUUUUGAAAUGAUCUGUUGUGGCCAUAAUCUGCAUCAAUGUUCUAAACGAUAACCAACUAUUCUUGUGAUGGUGAUUUCUUACAACAGAAGGCAAACGCUGCAAAGUUAUCUACUACUUUGAUGUGAGAACUCUCUUCUCUAUUCAUGUUGUGUAUAUUAUAAAAAUACAGUAAAAAGGGGAAGAAAUAAGUGAUGUCAAUCUUAUUUCUUUCCUUAAAGUAAUAGAAACGUAAUUAGAAGUCUUAGUUCUGUUGCCAAGAUAAAGCAACCAUGCUAGAUUAGUGAAUGAAUAGACUGUGGGAUUUUCAUUACUAACUGCUUCGACAGGGAAGUGGAAAACAGGACUCAUCUCAAACUGGAAUUGGAGCAAGUCAGGGGACUUUCAGGUGAACCUGAUACUUUGAAAUGCUUUAAUGUAAGAGGAUGUUUUACUGGAAAAUGAUUUGGAAGACAAAGGGCUCAUAUAAAGUAGCUUGCUUUAUACAUGGAGGAGAAUGAACAUUUACUUUUGCAUUGUCCAAUGGCUGCUAGUUGUGACUGUUUCUGCAGAUUGUUUGGGGUAAGAUGGGUGAUGCCCAAAUCACUAAGAGAUCCUUUUCUGCUGCUGUGAAGGAAUGUAUCUUAAGAAAAGAAUUGAAGGGGAUUUGGAGCAGUAUGCUUUGGCACAUGUGUUUUCUGGAACAGAAGGAGCCCGAGAUUUUCCAAUGAAGAUCUAAUGUUUUUGUAAAUUCUUUAAAGUAUUAAGUGUUACCAGUAUGAAUGGUGUAAAUUGCAUUUUGAUAUAUGGCGUGGAUAGCCUGGUGGUUGUUAAACACAAAAACUUACACAGUAUGACACUCUCUGCUUGCUUUUUUUGGUCA
Long non-coding RNA from Nicotiana tabacum (common tobacco), 1747 nucleotides. RefSeq lists it as uncharacterized. NCBI's taxonomy places the organism in Eukaryota, Viridiplantae, Streptophyta, Magnoliopsida, Solanales, Solanaceae. The record is from RefSeq and is a predicted model, not a curated record.